AUGCUAUUGAAAUAUAUGCCCCGUCUCCUAGACUGUCAGAUUAAAUGCUUUCAUAGCAAUCAGUUGGCUGAAUGUUUCCCUUUUUUCACCCUUUUUUUUUUAAUAAAUAUCCAUAUUUCCUCCAGACUGCCAGAUUAUCUUCAGCAAGAGAAUUUCUUGCUUUUGCAAAAACAAAAGGAAGCCAAUUCAUUUACCUACUCCCUGCUUUUGGGCUGCUUUGCAGAACCAUCAGUUUAUAAAUGCUUCAGGAAUGUUUUGCCUUCGUCAUGGGUCUGGGAUGAACAACCCAACCUGCCAUAGCUUGAUUCCUCUUUGUGAGAAGCAGCUCAGCUCUAGCCCUGUAGUUCUGCUAAGAAGAAUUGAGUCACUUUCGAUCCAGGAAGACCACAGAAAUGACUCUAAG
This 403-nucleotide long non-coding RNA is filed under the name Anas platyrhynchos platyrhynchos (common mallard). RNAcentral's name for it is "lncRNA (ENSAPLG00000022030.1)". Lineage: Eukaryota; Metazoa; Chordata; Aves; Anseriformes; Anatidae. The record is from RNAcentral.